AACGGCCGUACCAUGCUGAAUAUACCGGUUCUCGUUAGAUCACCGAAGUCAAGCAUCAUUGGGCGCGGUCGGUACUUGGGCGGGUGACCACCUGGGAACACCGCGUGCCGUU
Molecule: ribosomal RNA, 112 nt
Filed under: Caerostris darwini
Lineage: Eukaryota; Metazoa; Arthropoda; Arachnida; Araneae; Araneidae
Source: RNAcentral